UUAGGUAGCCGAACAUGCUACAAGUCUGCCGUCUAGUCGAUUAUUGUUGAAACAAAAUCGGCCGGUCAACAGAUAAGUAGUCAUUCACCUUAUCCCAUCUCUUCACCUCCGCAUACGUUUCGAUCUUCUUCUUUUCUUUCUUCCUGGCCGGUGAGGCGCUUCUGUAACCGAGCUGAUCUAGCGUCUCAGGAACUACUAUCAAACGAUCGAUCAGCCACAAGCAACUAUGAUAGAUUGAUCUUGAUUCAUCUACUCUUUGUUAAGAAUCUGUUAUUAACGCAUUACUGAAGGCAACUGUUGGGACGAUUCAGAUGGCACAUGGUCAACCUGUCCUUUCAUCAUCCCACCUACCCAUAUCUGAAUUAGCUAAGCGGCAUCUAUUUGAACCGCGAACUGAUGUGCUCGCUAAUCCCGUCCUUGUCAAUUCGACGGUAGUAGAGGGAGUACUCGAUCCUUCAUCACGAGGGUGGCAUUCCGAGCAUUCCUUUGAAGCUUUGUCUUACGAUCCACAAGCACCAUUGGCGCGAGAUGAUCUAAAGUGUACCCUGGGGAUGAGAAUGUCAUCCAAAGGCUUGGGCUGGGAAGAAGACUCUAUACAAUAUGUCAAGUACCCUCAGGGCUACACUGGAUGGGGUGUACAGAUUUUGAACCAAUUUUCUUUUAAUUUGAAAGGGAUCGAGGAAAAUACUGAUUACAUUUGUGGAGCUAUAUACUGCUCCCUUUGUGAUUAUACCAUUUGUCCUGCCUUGCUGAGGUCCCUGUUGGAAAAGUGGAGUCCUCAGACCAACACCUUUUUAUUCAAUUGUGGCGAAAGGACGAUCACUUUACUCGACAUGUUUCUAAUGGCAGGGCUCCCUGUAGCGGGAGAUCCUUACGAAGAAUUCAUUCAUCCACUCCGUAAACUGAACCCUUCUUUACUUUUGUUCCCGAAUUUUUUGUUUGACCUCCUUGAUGAAUGGGACACACUCUCUACUCAGUCUGAAGGCAAUUUAGUAACCUUCCAAGCCUGGUGUGACCAUUUCUACAACAACCAAGCAGACCCUCCAUCUUUUACCUCACUCCGGGCAGAACGCAAGUACACAGCAGCCUACAUCGCCCUUUGGCUGUGCUCUCAUGUGGUCGUAGGUGUGGGUCCAUAUAUUCGCCCCGGCUGUCUUGUCAUGGCCUCCUGGAUUGCAGUAGGGCGUAAAAUUUCAUUGGCCCCGCCGGUGCUUUCCUCUUUAUAUUUUUCUCUUCGUCGUAUCAGCCGCCAUCCUGUUGGUCCCUCUUAUGGCAGAACACCUUGGCCAGUUCAUUAUAUUAUAGGAUGGGUGAAUCUUUAUUUAAAAAAAGUUUUUAAAGGCAAACUUAGCGGGGGCCGUCUUCCAUCUCCCAAGAAGCUACAUAUGCAACCGGCUAUGAUAAAUACCAUGCUUCGUCCUCCGAAUGUUUUCUCAUCUGAGGCUGCACAUGAUUUUCUAGCGCAUCACAAGAACAUUGUUUUGUGCCCCUAUGCUUCACGCAAUCUGACCGGAGCGGACCAGUUACACAGAUCCUACAUGAUUUCUGUUCGUCGAGGUAUGCUGCCUUGGAGAUUCUCAUUUCAGGGUGUUGACAAGUGUGUUGCCGAACCAUAUCACCCCGACCGUGUGGCCUUCCAAUUUAAGCUAGACCAACUGGUACCAUACAAUCCAUUGAAAUCCUUGUUCACCGAAACUGGUCUCAGGUGAAUUAUAUCGCAUCCAUUGAGGCCAAAGAAAAAGAGAUUGUGGAUCAUUGGAAUCCUAUCUUAGCCAUGUUUCUUUCAGAUGAUGAACCUAAAACAUCUCAAAAGAAGAAGCGGGGGCGUAAAGAUAUGGACACAAAUUCCUC
This is an RNA transcript of Brachypodium distachyon (stiff brome), 1851 nucleotides long. RefSeq lists it as uncharacterized. NCBI's taxonomy places the organism in Eukaryota, Viridiplantae, Streptophyta, Magnoliopsida, Poales, Poaceae. The record is from RefSeq and is a predicted model, not a curated record. The transcript is spliced from 5 exons.